ACACAUGCAGUCGAACGGUAGCACAGAGGAGCUUGCUCCUUGGGUGACGAGUGGCGGACGGGUGAGUAAUGUCUGGGAAACUGCCCGAUGGAGGGGGAUAACUACUGGAAACGGUAGCUAAUACCGCAUAACGUCGCAAGACCAAAGAGGGGGACCUUCGGGCCUCUUGCCAUCGGAUGUGCCCAGAUGGGAUUAGCUAGUAGGUGGGGUAACGGCUCACCUAGGCGACGAUCCCUAGCUGGUCUGAGAGGAUGACCAGCCACACUGGAACUGAGACACGGUCCAGACUCCUACGGGAGGCAGCAGUGGGGAAUAUUGCACAAUGGGCGCAAGCCUGAUGCAGCCAUGCCGCGUGUAUGAAGAAGGCCUUCGGGUUGUAAAGUACUUUCAGCGAGGAGGAAGGUGUUGUGGUUAAUAACCGCAGCAAUUGACGUUACUCGCAGAAGAAGCACCGGCUAACUCCGUGCCAGCAGCCGCGGUAAUACGGAGGGUGCAAGCGUUAAUCGGAAUUACUGGGCGUAAAGCGCACGCAGGCGGUCUGUCAAGUCGGAUGUGAAAUCCCCGGGCUCAACCUGGGAACUGCAUCCGAAACUGGCAGGCUAGAGUCUUGUAGAGGGGGGUAGAAUUCCAGGUGUAGCGGUGAAAUGCGUAGAGAUCUGGAGGAAUACCGGUGGCGAAGGCGGCCCCCUGGACAAAGACUGACGCUCACGUGCGAAAGCGUGGGGAGCAAACAGGAUUAGAUACCCUGAUAGUCCACGCCGUAAACGAUGUCGACUUGGGAGGUUGUGCCCUUGAGGCGUGGCUUCCGGAGCUAACGCGUUAAGUCGACCGCCUGGGGAGUACGGCCGCAAGUUAA
RNAcentral lists this ribosomal RNA (856 nucleotides) under uncultured bacterium. RNAcentral describes it as "bacterial SSU rRNA". It matches the Rfam family "Bacterial small subunit ribosomal RNA", at positions 51 to 897 of the family's 1533-position model. The record is from RNAcentral.